Molecule: RNA transcript, 6085 nt
Organism: Cyprinus carpio (common carp)
Lineage: Eukaryota; Metazoa; Chordata; Actinopteri; Cypriniformes; Cyprinidae
Gene: stag2b
Gene name: stromal antigen 2b
Exons: 35
Source: RefSeq, a predicted model, not a curated record
UCUGACCGCCACUUUCAAACUACAUCCAUGAAAUAGCCGCGAAUGCGCGCUUUAAAGCCACUGGAGUCCAUCUAUCGCUUCAAGAAGUCCUUAUAAACAAUCCGGAACCGACCCUGACGAUCGGUUUACCCCAGUGCAUCUGGAACAUUUUACAGUACAUGCCAUUUUGGUUUAUGAGACAAAAGUACCCGCUGUUGCCCUGUGUGUAUGAAGACAAAGCCCUUGAUAAGUUGAAGUGGACCAGAAGAUGUUAAAGAAAUGAUAGCUGCACCGGAAUUACAAUCAGAGUUUCAUUACCCAUCAGGACACUGACACCCGAUUCUCAUCAGACACUGAUUUCGAUGAUCCUGAUGGGAGGAAUGUCUUUGUUGGGAAAGGGAAGGCGAAGAAAGGAAAGAAGGGCCCUGGAGAGAAGGGGAAGGGAGCGGGGAAAGGGGCUGGACGCAUGAACGGUCACCACCAGGAAAACGGCAUGGAAAAUGUCAUGCUUUUUGAAGUGGUCAGGCUGGGAAAGAGUGCCAUGCAGUCGGUCGUUGAUGACUGGAUUGAGUCCUACAAACAUGACAGAGACGUCGCACUUCUCGACUUGAUCAAUUUCUUCAUCCAGUGCUCUGGCUGCAAAGGUGUUGUUACUGGUGAGAUGUUCCGCAACAUGCAAAACUCUGAGAUCAUCAGGAAGAUGACAGAAGAGUUUGAUGAGGACAGCGGUGAUUACCCGCUCACCAUGGCCGGGCCGCAGUGGAAGAAGUUCAAGUCUAGUUUCUGUGAGUUUAUUGGCGUGUUGGUGCGGCAGUGUCAGUACAGCAUCAUCUAUGACGAGUACAUGAUGGACACGGUCAUCUCACUGCUCACCGGACUCUCUGACUCUCAAGUCCGAGCCUUCAGACACACCAGCACACUGGCAGCUAUGAAGUUGAUGACAGCCCUCGUGAAUGUAGCUCUGAACCUCAGCAUCAACAUGGACAACACUCAGCGGCAGUACGAAGCAGAGAGGAACAAGAUGAUUGGCAAGAGGGCCAAUGACAGGCUAGAGCUUCUGCUUCAGAAACGCAAGGAGUUGCAAGAAAAUCAAGAUGAGAUUGAGAACAUGAUGAAUGCCAUUUUCAAGGGUGUCUUUGUUCACCGAUAUCGUGAUGCAAUAGCAGAGAUCCGGGCGAUCUGCAUCGAGGAGAUCGGCGUGUGGAUGAAAAUGUAUAGUGAUGCAUUUCUUAACGACAGCUAUCUGAAGUAUGUGGGCUGGACCAUGCACGACAAGCAAGGUGAGGUGCGUCUGAAGUGUCUCACGGCUCUGCAGGGGCUGUACUAUAACCGCGAGCUCAAUGCCAAGCUGGAGCUCUUCACCAGCCGCUUCAAGGACCGUAUUGUGUCCAUGACACUGGACAAGGAGUACGACGUUGCAGUGCAAGCAAUAAAACUGCUCACACUGGUGUUACAUAGCAGUGAUGAGGUUCUGACUGCAGAAGACUGUGAGAGUGUGUACCAUCUAGUGUAUUCAGCCCACCGACCCGUCGCUGUGGCAGCAGGAGAGUUCCUCUUUAAGAAACUGUUCAGUCAUCGAGACCCUGAAGAUGACAGCAUGCCCAAGAGACGAGGCAGACAGAGUGUGAAUGCCAACCUCAUCAAAACCGCUGUCUUUUUCUUCUUGGAGAGUGAGCUUCACGAGCAUGCAGCCUACCUAGUGGACAGCAUGUGGGACUGUGCAGCAGAGAUCCUGAAGGACUGGGAGUGCAUGAUCAGCCUACUACUGGAUGAGCCAUUGCCUGGAGAGGAAGCUCUGACGGACAGACAGGAGACUGCUCUGAUAGAGAUCAUGCUGUGCACCAUCCGUCAGGCUGCAGAGUGCCAUCCUCCUGUGGGCAGAGGCACAGGCAAGAGGGUUCUGACAGCGAAGGAGAAGAAGACUCAGCUUGAUGACCGGACGAGAAUGACGGAGAUCUUCGCUAUAGCAUUGCCAGCUUUACUUGCAAAGUACUCUGUGGAUGCAGAGAAAGUGACAAAUCUGCUGCAGCUGCCUCAGUUUUUUGAUCUGGAGAUCUAUACCACAGGCCGUUUGGAAAAGCACCUGGAUUCAUUGUUAAGACAAAUCAGAGAGAUUGUGGAGAAGCACACGGACACAGAUGUGCUCGAGGCUUGCUCUAAAACCUACCAUGCCCUGUGCAACGAGGAGUUCACUAUCUUUAACCGAGUGGAUAUCGCCCGUAGCCAGCUCUUGGAUGAGCAAGUGGACAAGUUCAACAGGCUACUGGAGGACUUCCUGCAGGAGGGUGAAGACCCAGAUGAAGAUGAUGCUUAUCAAGUUCUGUCCACACUGAAGAGGAUCACAGCUUUUCACAAUGCUCAUGACCUUUCCAAAUGGGAUCUCUUCACUAGCAAUUACAAGUUACUGAACACUGGUAUUGAGAACGGAGAUAUGCCUGAGCAGAUUGUCAUUCACGCACUGCAGUGCACACAUUACGUCAUUCUUUGGAGUUUAGCCAAGGUCUCUGAGGGCACUUCUAAAAAGGAGGACAUGUUGACUCUGAGGAAGCAGAUGAGGGCGUUUUGUCUAAUGUGCCAGCGUUACCUAACCAGCGUCAACACCGCCGUCAAAGAGCAGGCCUUCACCAUCCUCUGUGACCUGCUGCUGAUCUUCAGCCAUCAGAUCAUCUCAGGUGGGAGGGAAGCUCUCGAGCCCCUAGUAUACACACCCGAGGCGUCCCUGCAGUCUGAGCUUCUCAGUUUCAUCCUGGACCACGUCUUCAUUGACCAGGAUGAAGACAGCAACAGCACAGAUGGGCAGCAGGAUGAUGAAGCAAGUAAAAUCGAAGCUUUGCACAAGAGGCGAAACCUGCUGGCCGCAUACUGCAAACUCAUUAUCUACAAUGUUGUUGAGAUGAACACUGGUGCAGAUAUUUUCAAGCAAUACAUGAGGUAUUACAAUGAUUACGGUGACAUCAUCAAGGAAACUAUGAGCAAGACGAGACAGAUCGACAAAAUCCAGUGUGCAAAGACACUCAUUCUGAGCUUACAGCAGCUAUUCAAUGAGAUGCUGUCAGAUCUGGGACCCAGCUUUGACCGCUCAUCCUCAGCUUUCUGUGGCAUUAAAGAGCUCGCUCGACGCUUCUCUCUGACUUUUGGUCUGGAUCAGCUCAAAACCAGAGAGGCCAUCGCUAUGUUACACAAGGACGGUAUUGAGUUUGCCUUCAAAGAGCCCAAUCCUCAGGGGGAGGGGCAUCCUCCUCUCAACUUGGCUUUUCUUGACAUUCUCAGCGAGUUCUCAUCCAAACUCAUGCGUCAGGACAAGCGGACUGUGCACACGUAUUUGGAGCGCUUCAUGACAUUUCAGAUGGCCCUGCAGAGAGAAGACUGCUGGCUGCCGCUCAUCUCUUACAGGAACUCACUGCAGGCAGGGGGUGAUGAUGACACAAUGUCUGUGGUCAGUGGCAUCAGUAGCCGAGGCUCCUCCGUCAGGAGUAAAAAAGCUAAGCCUGCCACUGGCAAGAGGAAAUUACCAGAAGAGGAGAGCAGCAGCAGCAGUGACAUAUGGAUGAGCCGUGAGCAGAGCAUGCAGACGCCCGUCAUGAUGCCUUCACCCCACCUCACCUCCACCAUCAUGAGAGAGCCCAAACGCCUGCGUCCUGAGGAGAGCUACAUGGGGGUGUACACCAUGACCCCCGAUCAGCAACAGCAGCACGCACACCCUCAGACCCCUCAGCCACAACACCACCAGACUCCCAUGGACUACAAACACAAGUCACUUGGAUGUUAGCACAGAGACAGCAGCAAGAGGAAGUGGCCAGACAGCAGCAAGAAAGAGCUAUGAACUACGCCAAAUUAAGGAGCAACCUUCAGCAUGCUAUUCGUCGAGGAACAGGCCUUAUGGAGGAUGAUGAGGAGCCCAUUGUGGAAGAUGUGAUGAUGUCAUCAGAAGGCCGAAUUGAGGAUCUCAAUGAAGGCAUGGACUUUGACACCAUGGAUAUUGAUCUGCCCCCAUCGAAGAAUCGACGAGAGAGAUCGGAACUGAAGCCCGACUUUUUCGACCCUGCCUCCAUCAUGGAUGAGUCUGUCCUGGGAGUGCCCAUGUUUUAAGAUUAUAAUUGGAGGCGUGUGAAGAGAAGAGACAUUUUGCGUGAAUUCACAUUGAUUCUCUAAAGAGAAUUAAAUUCAAUGGAGUGAUUGGCAUCCAAAUCAGCUCGUACCAUUGACACUUUUACUAAAACGCAGAAAGGAUAAAGGAGCAAUUCAAAGUCUUUGCAAUCGUUGUGUGGGCUUUCCCUGAUCGUGCAAAACCGUGAGAGUAGAUACUGAACGCCAUGGAAUCUCGGACUGUCCUUAGCCAUACAUGAGUUUAUGAAAAAAAAAUAUAUAUAAAUAUAUAUAUAUAAAUAUUUCACAGUUGAACGUCAUCAUGUUUGAAGAAACAUAUGUGAGAUCUCUUAGAGUUGUGGUAUUUCUUGAAACCGGGGGUGAAUGCAUCUUUUUUAACUUAAAGACAACUUUGUUAUGUAUAGCCCUUUUGUAAUAGUGAGUAAUCUGGUGUAAAGUAGUAAUUUAUAAGCAGGGUUUUGCUCAUCAUAGUGAGUAUUGAUAUAUUUUAUUCUUCUUAUCUAAUAUGUGAAAUGGAGGAAAACCUCCAGGUCUUUAUAUCUAGUAUUUAGUUUCCUUUUAUUCCACCCUUAAAAAUCAUGACAUACAACAUGAAACCUAAAUCAAAACACUCUGAGCACCCCGAUUUAUUCCCGCCUUUGGUGCAUUUUUGAUAUUUUGGUGCAAUUUCAGUGACACGAUCAGUGAUUGGUGUAUGUGAAAUACCUCGACCAUUCAGUGGGCUUGUUGCUGUCUUUGCACCAGCAGAACUGUUUUUAUGUGCCAACCGCUCUAGUAAAUCAGGAACUUAGACUCCUAGUCGGUCCGUGGAGAUGCACAGAAAGGACUGUAAUUCUUCUGCUGAGUCACGUGGCUUAUCCAAAGAUCAGAUCUGCUCGCUUGUCCCUCUAAAAUCUAAGAUCAAGCAAAGAAGAGGAAAUCUCUCCAGUAGUGCCAUUGUGUUGUCUCUGAUAAAACAAAACUUAGUGUAGUAUGUCUGGUGGAGAUUUUCUUCUCCCUGAUUAGAGCUAUGUAGACAUCUACAUUUAAAUGAAGUUAUAUAUAAAUAUAUAAAUUGGUGCUGAUUUUAUAAUUGUGCUUUAGUUUUUUUGUUUUUUUUUACCUCCCCUCUUAUUUUUAAAACUCCCAACUUAGAGUUAAAAGGUUUUGAAAUGUAUAAGAACAUGUCUAAACAUGAAAGUGUGUAGCCAUGCAGCAAGUAAUGUUUUUUGAGAUUUUAUCAUUUUUUUCUUCUAAUUUUGUGUUUAUUGUUUGAAUCUUUUUUUGUUGUUGUUGGUCAGUCUUAAGAGGUUUUUAGGUUUCAUCUUUUUCCUGAUUGUAAAUUAGUUUGGUUGCAAAUCAUGGACAGAACUGUUUCAUUCAGCUCUAAGUUUGUUGUUCCCAGUAUGAGUAAGUGUAACAAUAACAUCCUUUGAGAUCCUUUAAUGUUACAGCAUUGCAUUCGGCAGCUCUAUGAAGCUUGAUUAAUACAUUUAACUUAUAUUGCAGACAUGUGCAUUUUGUCUGGGGUGUACUUUUUUAAUCAUUCCAUGCCUUGGCCUUAAAACAUCCUUGUUUUAAAAAGGAAAAGAAGGUGGUAGUCAAACAUAAAUCUUCCAUGUUGAAACUUUUAUGUGUGGUACAUUGGAUUCCUUUCACAUCAGAAAAGGAACAGUGCAUUUCUAAAACGGCAUGAGUGUAAUUAUUUAAAAGAAGGUGUGCAGACAGAUUUUGAAUUUAUGAAAGUAAAUGCCCUUUGGCUUAAACUGUUUUCUGUUCCUCACCACUACAUUAAUUAAACUGCUGAAUAGAUUGUGUAAAUAUACAUGCAUUUAGACGUAAAGCUUAAUUUUCUAGUGCUUUUUUCUGUUAACUUUUAAAACAUAUUAUCACUUUUCCCUGUUCAGAGAUAUAAACUCAUACAUAACUGAUUCCCUGUCCUCUGUUAUCCAUUGUAAUGUUUCUGAUUUGUAUCUGUCUGGAGACAGUAAGUUUUUUGAAUAAAAGUAAACAAAUCUUU